RNAcentral lists this ribosomal RNA (252 nucleotides) under uncultured bacterium. RNAcentral's name for it is "partial 16S ribosomal RNA". It matches the Rfam family "Bacterial small subunit ribosomal RNA", at positions 524 to 776 of the family's 1533-position model. The record is from RNAcentral.
UACGUAGGUCCCAGGCGUUGUCCGGAUUUAUUGGGCGUAAAGCGAGCGCAGGUGGUUUAUUAAGUCUGGUGUAAAAGGCAGUGGCUCAACCAUUGUAUGCAUUGGAAACUGGUAGACUUGAGUGCAGGAGAGGAGAGUGGAAUUCCAUGUGUAGCGGUGAAAUGCGUAGAUAUAUGGAGGAACACCGGUGGCGAAAGCGGCUCUCUGGCCUGUAACUGACACUGAGGCUCGAAAGCGUGGGGAGCAAACAGG